RNAcentral lists this ribosomal RNA (369 nucleotides) under uncultured bacterium. RNAcentral describes it as "bacterial SSU rRNA". It matches the Rfam family "Bacterial small subunit ribosomal RNA", at positions 420 to 806 of the family's 1533-position model. The record is from RNAcentral.
GGUAUGUUAAGCUCUAUCAGCAGGGAAGAUAAUGACGGUACCUGACUAAGAAGCACCGGCUAAAUACGUGCCAGCAGCCGCGGUAAUACGUAUGGUGCAAGCGUUAUCCGGAUUUACUGGGUGUAAAGGGAGCGCAGGCGGUGCGGCAAGUCUGAUGUGAAAGCCCGGGGCUCAACCCCGGUACUGCAUUGGAAACUGUCGUACUAGAGUGUCGGAGGGGUAAGCGGAAUUCCUAGUGUAGCGGUGAAAUGCGUAGAUAUUAGGAGGAACACCAGUGGCGAAGGCGGCUUACUGGACGAUAACUGACGCUGAGGCUCGAAAGCGUGGGGAGCAAACAGGAUUAGUCACCCUGGUAGUCCACGCCGUAAA